Molecule: ribosomal RNA, 366 nt
Filed under: uncultured organism
Description: bacterial SSU rRNA
Rfam family: Bacterial small subunit ribosomal RNA
Source: RNAcentral
UGGAGGAUCCAAGCGUUAUCCGGAAUCAUUGGGUUUAAAGGGUCCGUAGGCGGGUUUAUAAGUCAGUGGUGAAAGCCCAUCGCUCAACGAUGGAACGGCUAUUGAUACUGUAGAUCUUGAAUUAUUAGGAAGUAACUAGAAUAUGUAGUGUAGCGGUGAAAUGCUUAGAGAUUACAUGGAAUACCAAUUGCGAAGGCAGGUUACUACUAAUGGAUUGACGCUGAUGGACGAAAGCGUGGGUAGCGAACAGGAUUAGAUACCCUGGUAGUCCACGCCGUAAACGAUGGAUACUAGCUGUUCGGAGCAAUCUGAGUGGCUAAGCGAAAGUGAUAAGUAUCCCACCUGGGGAGUACGUUCGCAAGAAUG